This 467-nucleotide long non-coding RNA is filed under the name Carica papaya (papaya). Its description in RNAcentral is "long non-coding RNA (CPAP_LNC009290)". The record is from RNAcentral. Lineage: Eukaryota; Viridiplantae; Streptophyta; Magnoliopsida; Brassicales; Caricaceae.
AAUUUCUUUCUCUUUACACAGUCGGAGGUGGCUCCGGCAUGGCGGCAGACGGCGGUUGGCUCCCUCUCCCGGCGACUAGUUCUUCUUCUCUAGCGAGGGGCUGGCGCCCAGGGUUAGGGUUCGAUGUAAAGUGAGGUAUUUAUAUUUAUCUCCCUUUAAUCUGGACUGUCUAUCACGUUUAAAUAUAAAAUGAAUCUGCACCGUACGGUUGCGCCUAAUGAGGAAACGGAUUCGGACCGUCCACGCGCGUGGGAAAAAUCCUGACCGACCGAUCGCAACACGCGGAUUGCCAGCGUGGCCUCCUGCGUAGCACCGGGUCAACGUGGCUUGCCAUAUGGCGCACUCCGGUUCAUCGGGGCUGCUGACUGGGCAGUCCUAUGUGGCACAUUUUUUUCAAAUGCGUUUUGACUCCCAAUUCCUGAUUUUUCUUUUAAAAACACCCAUAUAACCCAAAUUUUCACCACUUU